AUUGAACGCUGGCGGCAGGCUUAACACAUGCAAGUCGAGCGGGGGAAGGUAGCUUGCUACCGGACCUAGCGGCGGACGGGUGAGUAAUGCUUAGGAAUCUGCCUAUUAGUGGGGGACAACAUCUCGAAAGGGAUGCUAAUACCGCAUACGUCCUACGGGAGAAAGCAGGGGAUCUUCGGACCUUGCGCUAAUAGAUGAGCCUAAGUCGGAUUAGCUAGUUGGUGGGGUAAAGGCCUACCAAGGCGACGAUCUGUAGCGGGUCUGAGAGGAUGAUCCGCCACACUGGGACUGAGACACGGCCCAGACUCCUACGGGAGGCAGCAGUGGGGAAUAUUGGACAAUGGGGGGAACCCUGAUCCAGCCAUGCCGCGUGUGUGAAGAAGGCCUUAUGGUUGUAAAGCACUUUAAGCGAGGAGGAGGCUACUUUAGUUAAUACCUAGAGAUAGUGGACGUUACUCGCAGAAUAAGCACCGGCUAACUCUGUGCCAGCAGCCGCGGUAAUACAGAGGGUGCGAGCGUUAAUCGGAUUUACUGGGCGUAAAGCGUGCGUAGGCGGCUUAUUAAGUCGGAUGUGAAAUCCCCGAGCUUAACUUGGGA
Molecule: ribosomal RNA, 597 nt
Filed under: Acinetobacter baumannii OIFC137
Lineage: Bacteria; Pseudomonadati; Pseudomonadota; Gammaproteobacteria; Moraxellales; Moraxellaceae
Description: bacterial SSU rRNA
Rfam family: Bacterial small subunit ribosomal RNA
Source: RNAcentral